UUUCUCAAAGAUUAAGCCAUGCAUGUCUAAGUAUAAGCAACUAUACAGUGAAACUGCGAAUGGCUCAUUAAAUCAGUUAUCGUUUAUUUGAUAGUACCUUACUACUUGGAUAACCGUGGUAAUUCUAGAGCUAAUACAUGCUAAAAAUCCCGACCUCUGGAAGGGAUGUAUUUAUUAGAUAAAAAACCAAUGCCUUCGGGCUCCUUGGUGAUUCAUGAUAACUUAACGAAUCGCAUGGCCUUGCGCCGGCGAUGGUUCAUUCAAAUUUCUGCCCUAUCAACUUUCGAUGGUAGGAUAGUGGCCUACCAUGGUUUCAACGGGUAACGGGGAAUUAGGGUUCGAUUCCGGAGAGGGAGCCUGAGAAACGGCUACCACAUCCAAGGAAGGCAGCAGGCGCGCAAAUUACCCAAUCCCGAUUCGGGGAGGUAGUGACAAUAAAUACUGAUACAGGGCUCUUUUGGGUCUUGUAAUUGGAAUGAGUACAAUUUAAAUCCCUUAACGAGGAACAAUUGGAGGGCAAGUCUGGCCC
RNAcentral lists this ribosomal RNA (529 nucleotides) under Arthrobotrys musiformis. RNAcentral describes it as "SSU rRNA". It matches the Rfam family "Eukaryotic small subunit ribosomal RNA", at positions 33 to 567 of the family's 1831-position model. Lineage: Eukaryota; Fungi; Ascomycota; Orbiliomycetes; Orbiliales; Orbiliaceae. The record is from RNAcentral.